AUAAAUGCAAGGAAAAAGAGGAGUACCAUAAAAGAACUGCCAGAGAGGAAGAUCCACAGGCUGAAAGGUCUUUCGAGGAAAUUUGUGGGAAGGUAGCUUUGGAGCAGCACAUCCGAAAUGUUCAGUAGGAUGCGCCGGGUCGUUCCCGUUACAGAAUAAGAUGAGUGAUAAAUUAAGGUGGUAACGCGUAAGAUACGCCCUUUGG
RNAcentral lists this non-coding RNA (205 nucleotides) under Clostridium sp. RNAcentral's name for it is "T-box sequence". It matches the Rfam family "T-box leader". From Rfam's summary of the family: Uncharged tRNA acts as the effector for transcription antitermination of genes in the T-box leader family. T-boxes are found upstream of many aminoacyl-tRNA synthetase genes and some amino acid biosynthetic genes usually in Gram-positive bacteria. The anticodon of a specific tRNA base pairs to a specifier sequence within the T-box motif, and the NCCA acceptor tail of the tRNA base pairs to a conserved bulge in the T-box antiterminator hairpin. Lineage: Bacteria; Bacillati; Bacillota; Clostridia; Eubacteriales; Clostridiaceae. The record is from RNAcentral.